AGCCUGCCGUAUGCGUCGGUAUCGGGGCUCGACCUCCCACCCGUGUUGCCCGAACCUAUGUUGCCUCGGCGGGCCCCGCGCCCGCCGACGGCCCCCCUGAACGCUGUCUGAAGUUGCAGUCUGAGACCUAUAACGAAAUUAGUUAAAACUUUCAACAACGGAUCUCUUGGUUCCGGCAUCGAUGAAGAACGCAGCGAAAUGCGAUAACUAAUGUGAAUUGCAGAAUUCAGUGAAUCAUCGAGUCUUUGAACGCACAUUGCGCCCUCUGGUAUUCCGGAGGGCAUGCCUGUCCGAGCGUCAUUGCUGCCCUCAAGCCCGGCUUGUGUGUUGGGCCCCGUCCCCCCCGCCGGGGGGACGGGCCCGAAAGGCAGCGGCGGCACCGCGUCCGGUCCUCGAGCGUAUGGGGCUUCGUCACCCGCUCUAGUAGGCCCGGCCGGCGCCAGCCGACCCCCAACCUUUAAUUAUCUCAGGUUGACCUCGGAUCAGGUAGGGAUACCCGCUGAACUUAAGCAUAUCAAGGAGGCGGAGGAA
This 531-nucleotide ribosomal RNA is filed under the name Penicillium citrinum. RNAcentral describes it as "eukaryotic LSU rRNA". The stretch from base 147 to 300 matches the Rfam family "5.8S ribosomal RNA". The record is from RNAcentral. Lineage: Eukaryota; Fungi; Ascomycota; Eurotiomycetes; Eurotiales; Aspergillaceae.